CAUCUUCGCUGGGGGUGUUGCCCCGACCCUUGUGGCCGGUGCGACUGAGAAAGUCCCUUUGAACCUGAUUGAGGUAAUCCUCGCGCAGGGAAGCAGCCGGAUCCGGGC
Molecule: non-coding RNA, 108 nt
Filed under: Rubrivivax sp.
Lineage: Bacteria; Pseudomonadati; Pseudomonadota; Betaproteobacteria; Burkholderiales; Sphaerotilaceae
Description: TPP sequence
Rfam family: TPP riboswitch aptamer (THI element)
About the family: Vitamin B(1) in its active form thiamin pyrophosphate (TPP) is an essential coenzyme that is synthesised by coupling of pyrimidine and thiazole moieties in bacteria. The previously detected thiamin-regulatory element, thi box was extended, resulting in a new, highly conserved RNA secondary structure, the THI element, which is widely distributed in eubacteria and also occurs in some archaea.
Source: RNAcentral